Molecule: long non-coding RNA, 1528 nt
Filed under: Homo sapiens (human)
Lineage: Eukaryota; Metazoa; Chordata; Mammalia; Primates; Hominidae
Description: HSALNT0376155
Source: RNAcentral
AGUAAUCCACUGGGGUACGCUUCCGCGCUGUGGAGAGUAUGUUCUUUUGCUCUUCACAGUAAAUCUUGCUAAUGCUCACUUUUUGGGUCCACACUACUUUUAUGAACUGUAACACUCACUGCGAAGGUCUUUAGCUUAACUCCUGAAGCCAGCAAGACCACGAAUCCUCUGGGAGGCAUGAACAACUCCUGACCCGCCACCUUAAAGAGCUGUAACACUCACUGUGAAGGUCUGCGGCUUCACUCCUGAAGUCAGCGAGACCACGAACGCACCAGAAGGAAGAAACUCCCCACACAUGUGAACAUCUGAAGGAACAAACUCCCGACACUCCAUCUUCAAGAACUGUAACACUCACCGUGAGGGUCUGCAGCUUCAUUCUUGAAGUCAGCAAGACCAAGAACCCACCAGAAGAAACCAAUUCCGGCCACAGUGUCUCCUUGGCUUACUGUGGAAAAACUCAAGGGGAGAUUAUUCUCUGAAAAAUCUUACCAGAGAAAAGAAAAUCAGACAAAUGAUGUGCUCUCAUUUAUUCUUCACUUUAAUCCUAAAGAGGUGAAAAUCUGACAGCUCAAAAUGAAGCAAAAACCCAAGAUUAAAACAGACACCAUUUUGUGCCCACUCAGUCUUCUUUCCAGGGUCAUACAUGUCUGAAAAUAUUCCUGCUGAAACAGCCUGCACCAUUCCAUUCUCUACACUAGCGGUUCUCAGAUUAGAGAGUGAAUGAGAUCGCAUGAAGGACUUGCUAAAACAUGGAUUGCUGUGUCAAAGGUGAGUGGGAUGGUUAAUAUUAGGUGUCAACUUGAUUGAAGGAUGCCUAAAUGCCUGGUAAAGUAUUGUUUCUAGGUGCUUCUAUGAGGGUGUUGCCAGAGGAGAUUGACAUUGGAGUCGGUGGACUGAGAGAGGGAGACCCACCCUCAAUGUGGGUGGGUACCACCCAAUCAACUGCUACUGUGGCUAGAACAAAGCAGGCAGAAGAAGGUGGCAUAACUUUGCUUGCUGAGUCUCUUUUUUCCCCAUGCUGGAUGCUUCCUUCCACUUCUUCUGCCCUUGAAUAUCAAUCACACUCCAGGUUCUUUGGUCUUUGGACUCUGGGACUUGCACCAGCAGCCUACUGGUAGCUCUAGGGACCCUCCGCCACAGACAGAAGGCUGCACUGUCUGCUUCCAUGGUUUUGAGGCCUUCGGAGUUGGACUGGGCCACUACCAGCUUCUCUCUUCCCCAGCUUGCAGACAGCCUAUCAUGGGACUUCACCUUGUAAUUGUGUGAGCCAGUUCCCCCUAAUAAACUCCCUCUCAUACGUACAUAUAUCCUAUUGGUUCUGUGCCUCUGAACAGCCAUGACUAAUACAGGAGGUCUGUGGCACCUGAGAAUUCUCUCUUCUGACAAGUUUCCAAUUGAUGCUGAUGCUGAUGAUGCAGGGACCACACUUUGAGAACCACAGCUCUGCAGAAUAAUUCUCCGAAACAUAAAUAUUAAUAUAACACUCAUCCAAUUAAAAUACAUUAGUACUGUCCCAGACCCUUCAAAA